Non-coding RNA from Myotis davidii, 75 nucleotides. The record is from Rfam. Lineage: Eukaryota; Metazoa; Chordata; Mammalia; Chiroptera; Vespertilionidae.
GGCGGUUCUCGGGUGAUGCACCCCGGAAUUGGGCUCCCUCCUCUCUGGUUCCGAGUUCAUCACCCGAGAACCGCA